This 465-nucleotide ribosomal RNA is filed under the name Vreelandella stevensii. RNAcentral's name for it is "partial 16S ribosomal RNA". It matches the Rfam family "Bacterial small subunit ribosomal RNA", at positions 338 to 795 of the family's 1533-position model. Lineage: Bacteria; Pseudomonadati; Pseudomonadota; Gammaproteobacteria; Oceanospirillales; Halomonadaceae. The record is from RNAcentral.
CCUACGGGGGGCUGCAGUGGGGAAUAUUGGACAAUGGGGGCAACCCUGAUCCAGCCAUGCCGCGUGUGUGAAGAAGGCCCUCGGGUUGUAAAGCACUUUCAGUGAGGAAGAACGCCUGGUGGUUAAUACCCAUCAGGAAAGACAUCACUCACAGAAGAAGCACCGGCUAACUCCGUGCCAGCAGCCGCGGUAAUACGGAGGGUGCGAGCGUUAAUCGGAAUUACUGGGCGUAAAGCGCGCGUAGGUGGCUUGAUAAGCCGGUUGUGAAAGCCCCGGGCUCAACCUGGGAACGGCAUCCGGAACUGUCAAGCUAGAGUGCAGGAGAGGAAGGUGGAAUUCCCGGUGUAGCGGUGAAAUGCGUAGAGAUCGGGAGGAAUACCAGUGGCGAAGGCGGCCUUCUGGACUGACACUGACACUGAGGUGCGAAAGCGUGGGUAGCAAACAGGAUUAGAUACCCCGGUAGUC